UGGGGAAUAUUGCACAAUGGGCGCAAGCCUGAUGCAGCCAUGCCGCGUGUAUGAAGAAGGCUUUCGGGUUGUAAAGUACUUUCAGCGGGGAGGAAGGGAGUAAAGUUAAUACCUUUGCUCAUUGACGUUACCCGCAGAAGAAGCACCGGCUAACUCCGUGCCAGCAGCCGCGGUAAUACGGAGGGUGCAAGCGUUAAUCGGAAUUACUGGGCGUAAAGCGCACGCAGGCGGUUUGUUAAGUCAGAUGUGAAAUCCCCGGGCUCAACCUGGGAACUGCAUCUGAUACUGGCAAGCUUGAGUCUCGUAGAGGGGGGUAGAAUUCCAGGUGUAGCGGUGAAAUGCGUAGAGAUCUGGAGGAAUACCGGUGGCGAAGGCGGCCCCCUGGACGAAGACUGACGCUCAGGUGCGAAAGCGUGGGGAGCAAACA
This 427-nucleotide ribosomal RNA is filed under the name uncultured bacterium. RNAcentral describes it as "partial 16S ribosomal RNA". It matches the Rfam family "Bacterial small subunit ribosomal RNA", at positions 355 to 774 of the family's 1533-position model. The record is from RNAcentral.